UACGGAGGGUGCGAGCGUUGUCCGGAAUCACUGGGCGUAAAGGGCGCGUAGGCGGGCUGGCAAGUCGGUCGUGAAAUCCCUCGGCUCAACCGAGGAACGUCGAUCGAUACUGCUGUUCUUGAGGAUUGCAGAGGAGACUGGAAUUCCCGGUGCAGCGGUGAAAUGUGUAGAGAUCGGGAGGAACACCGGUGGCGAAGGCGGGUCUCUGGGCAAUUCCUGACGCUGAGGCGCGAAAGCGUGGGGAGCAAACGGG
This 253-nucleotide ribosomal RNA is filed under the name uncultured bacterium. RNAcentral describes it as "partial 16S ribosomal RNA". It matches the Rfam family "Bacterial small subunit ribosomal RNA", at positions 524 to 776 of the family's 1533-position model. The record is from RNAcentral.